AACGAACGCUGGCGGCAUGCCUAACACAUGCAAGUCGAACGAGACCUUCGGGUCUAGUGGCGCACGGGUGCGUACCGCGUGGGAACCUGCCCUUAGGUUCGGAAUAACUCCCCGAAAGGGGUGCUAAUACCGGAUAAUGUCUUCGGACCAAAGAUUUAUCGCCUUUGGAUGGGCCCGCGUUGGAUUAGCUAGUUGGUAGGGUAAAAGCCUACCAAGGCGACGAUCCAUAGCUGGUCUGAGAGGAUGAUCAGCCACACUGGGACUGAGACACGGCCCAGACUCCGACGGGAGGCAGCAGUGGGGAAUAUUGGACAAGGGGCGAAAGCCUGAUCCAGCAAUGCCGCGUGAGUGAUGAAGGCCUUAGGGUUGUAAAGCUCUUUUACCCGGGAUGAUAAUGACAGUACCGGGAGAAUAAGCUCCGGCGAACUCCGU
RNAcentral lists this ribosomal RNA (432 nucleotides) under uncultured bacterium. RNAcentral describes it as "partial 16S ribosomal RNA". It matches the Rfam family "Bacterial small subunit ribosomal RNA", at positions 29 to 506 of the family's 1533-position model. The record is from RNAcentral.